UCUCAAAAGAGUUUGAUUUGAAGAUCAUUCACUGUAACAUAAGAAAUGUCAUAUUCAGCAGAGGUUGUCUGACUGUUAGUGUUUGAGAUCAUAUGGACCAGAUGAUUUCUCUGGGUACAUGAGCCACAUGCACUGUAGUCAUGAAGAGGAUUUUAUGUGUCCAACGUGAGAGAAACAUGAUUUAUAUGAUGGUGGCUGCAGCACGAGUGUCAUUUCAGAGCUAAAGUUUGAGGAAGUGAAGAGAGAGGAGACAGAAUACAGAUCUGAGAGGAGACGGAGAGAUUCAGGGAGGAGCUGAGCUGUUACUGAACUAUAGAAGAGAGAGGAACUUCCAUAUUCAGCAGAGUUCAAUACACAAACCACAAACAUUACCUUUAUUCAACAUGCUGUCACUGGACUAUUAUGGGCUGUCUCUGAUGUUUCUCUCUAUUAUAACAGGUGUCAGCUGUGAAGAACUCAGUCCAGUCAAGAAAGAAGAGUCCAGUUUAGAAGACAGCACUGUUACUCUGUCCUACACAUACUCCAAACAAGCUGAUGGCAACGAUUAUUUCUUCUGGUAUCGACAAUAUCCAGGAAAACCACCAGAGUUCCUCAUCUCUCACUUGGGAACAGGAACACCAAUAUCUGAUCGAGUCUCUAGACUGUCCUUCAACGUGAGUGAUGAUAAAACCAAAAUGCAUCUGCAGAUCUCCUCUGCUGCAGUGACAGACUCUGCUGUGUACUACUGUGCUGUGAGGCCCACAGUGACAGGAAACACCAAAACUCUGUACAAAAACACAAGCUGACACACUGACAAGCUGCUGG
This is a non-coding RNA of Acanthopagrus latus (yellowfin seabream), 804 nucleotides long. Lineage: Eukaryota; Metazoa; Chordata; Actinopteri; Spariformes; Sparidae. The record is from the annotation of a RefSeq genome assembly.